This 624-nucleotide ribosomal RNA is filed under the name Paraburkholderia sp. RNAcentral's name for it is "bacterial SSU rRNA". It matches the Rfam family "Bacterial small subunit ribosomal RNA", at positions 112 to 732 of the family's 1533-position model. The record is from RNAcentral. Lineage: Bacteria; Pseudomonadati; Pseudomonadota; Betaproteobacteria; Burkholderiales; Burkholderiaceae.
AAUACAUCGGAACGUGUCCUGUAGUGGGGGAUAGCCCGGCGAAAGCCGGAUUAAUACCGCAUACGCUCUACGGAGGAAAGGGGGGGAUCUUAGGACCUCCCGCUACAGGGGCGGCCGAUGGCAGAUUAGCUAGUUGGUGGGGUAAAGGCCUACCAAGGCGACNAUCUGUAGCUGGUCUGAGAGGACGACCAGCCACACUGGGACUGAGACACGGCCCAGACUCCUACGGGAGGCAGCAGUGGGGAAUUUUGGACAAUGGGGGAAACCCUGAUCCAGCAAUGCCGCGUGUGUGAAGAAGGCCUUCGGGUUGUAAAGCACUUUUGUCCGGAAAGAAAACCUCUGGGUUAAUACCCCGGGGGGAUGACGGUACCGGAAGAAUAAGCACCGGCUAACUACGUGCCAGCAGCCGCGGUAAUACGUAGGGUGCAAGCGUUAAUCGGAAUUACUGGGCGUAAAGCGUGCGCAGGCGGUCCGCUAAGACAGAUGUGAAAUCCCCGGGCUUAACCUGGGAACUGCAUUUGUGACUGGCGGGCUAGAGUAUGGCANAGGGGGGUAGAAUUCCACGUGUANCAGUGAAAUGCGUAGAGANGUGGAGGAAUACCGAUGGCGAANGCAGCCCCCUGG